AGUGAACGCUGGCGGUAGGCCUAACACAUGCAAGUCGAACGGCAGCACAGUAAGAGCUUGCUCUUACGGGUGGCGAGUGGCGGACGGGUGAGGAAUACAUCGGAAUCUACUUUUUCGUGGGGGAUAACGUAGGGAAACUUACGCUAAUACCGCAUACGACCUACGGGUGAAAGCAGGGGAUCUUCGGACCUUGCGUGAUUGAAUGAGCCGAUGUCGGAUUAGCUAGUUGGCGGGGUAAAGGCCCACCAAGGCGACGAUCCGUAGCUGGUCUGAGAGGAUGAUCAGCCACACUGGAACUGAGACACGGUCCAGACUCCUACGGGAGGCAGCAGUGGGGAAUAUUGGACAGUGGGCGCAAGCCUGAUCCAGCCAUACCGCGUGGGUGAAGAAGGCCUUCGGGUUGUAAAGCCCUUUUGUUGGGAAAGAAAAGCAGCAGGUUAAUACCCCGCUGUUCUGACGGUACCCAAAGAAUAAGCACCGGCUAACUUCGUG
RNAcentral lists this ribosomal RNA (492 nucleotides) under uncultured bacterium. RNAcentral's name for it is "partial 16S ribosomal RNA". It matches the Rfam family "Bacterial small subunit ribosomal RNA", at positions 29 to 507 of the family's 1533-position model. The record is from RNAcentral.